CCCUUAGAUGUUCUGGGCCGCACGCGCGCUACACUGAUCGGUGCAACAAGCAUCCGUCCUUGGCCGACAGGCCCGGGCAAUCUUUGAACGCCGGUCGUGAUGGGGAUAGACCUUUGCAAUUUUUGGUCUUCAACGAGGAAUUCCUAGUAAACGCAAGUCAUCAACUUGCAUUGAUUACGUCCCUGCCCUUUGUACACACCGCCCGUCGCACCUACCGAUUGGAUGGUCCGGUGAAGCCUCGGGAUUGUGACUGUUGCCUUUAUUGGUGUCGGUUGCGAGAACUUGUCUAAACCUUAUCAUCUAGAGGAAGGUGAAGUCGUAACA
This 324-nucleotide ribosomal RNA is filed under the name uncultured eukaryote. Its description in RNAcentral is "partial 18S ribosomal RNA". It matches the Rfam family "Eukaryotic small subunit ribosomal RNA", at positions 1470 to 1796 of the family's 1831-position model. The record is from RNAcentral.